GCGUUAUCCGGAUUCACUGGGUUUAAAGGGUGCGUAGGUGGGCAGGUAAGUCAGUGGUGAAAUCUCCGGGCUUAACCCGGAAACUGCCAUUGAUACUAUUUGUCUUGAAUACUGUGGAGGUCAGCGGAAUAUGUCAUGUAGCGGUGAAAUGCUUAGAUAUGACAUAGAACACCAAUUGCGAAGGCAGCUGGCUACACAAAUAUUGACACUGAGGCACGAAAGCGUG
RNAcentral lists this ribosomal RNA (226 nucleotides) under uncultured bacterium. Its description in RNAcentral is "partial 16S ribosomal RNA". It matches the Rfam family "Bacterial small subunit ribosomal RNA", at positions 538 to 763 of the family's 1533-position model. The record is from RNAcentral.